UUUCAUUGUAUAAGAAUAUUUUAUGGUGAUAGAGGCGAGAGAAACUCUAGGCAAAUGGGCAGGUUCGCCCCACCUUCAAGCUGAAAAGCCUGAAGCCCAAGGGCCAAAGUGAGAACUUCUGUCCCUGUUUGCCCUCUCUCUCCUGAUUGGUUCUUUCUGAAUAAUUUUUUUUUUUUUUUGAGAUGGAGUCUUGUUCUGUCACCAAGGCUGGAGUGCAUUGUCACAAUCUCAGUUCACUGAAACCUCUACCUCCCGGAUUCAAGCAAUUCUCCUGCCUCAGCCUCCUGAGUAUCUGGGACUACAAGUGCACGUCACCACAUCUAGCUAAUUUUUUGUAUUUUUAGUAGAGACAGGGUUUCACCAUGUUGGCCAGGCUGCACUUGAACUCCUGGCCUCAGGUGAUCUGCCUGCCUCAGCUUCCCAAAGUCCUGGGAUUACAGGCAUGAGUCACCCCACGCCCUGCCCCACAUCCUGUGCCUACAAAGAUCUGCAACUCAGCUGGUAGAGAUGAGAAGCAGCUGGACAUCAAGGAGAGGCAACUUGACUUCAGGGACAAUGGCUGGAUGUUGGAGAGAGGCAAUUUGACUUUGGAGGAGAGAAGCAGACAGACAACUUGACUUCAGGAGAGAGCAACCUGCACUUCCCAUCCGCUUUCCAGCUCCCCUUUCCACUGAGAGCUGCUUUCAUCACUCAAUAAAGUUUUCUGCAUUCACCGUCCUUCAAUUCAUCCACAUGACCUCAUUCUUCUUGGGCACCAGACAAGAAUUCAGAACCACCAAAUGCGGAUACUCAAAAAGGCUGUCACACUGGCCCUUUGCCCUUGCUGGUGGAGGACAGCCACCCCACGCAAUGAGGAAAAAGGCUUACUGAGCUGAUAACACUCUGCUGUUUGUGGACGGCAGAGCUAAAAGAGCAUUGUAAUACACCUCUGGGGCCUUAGGGUCACCCCCACCCGGACGUCACCGCAGGGCCUACACAGAGUUUGCGUCUGCUGUUGCCAAAGCAGCCAGCUGGUUCCUGCGCUCCAUUACCUACGUGCUCCCUUCGGCGGGGGUGGAGCAUGGUGGACUGAGUAAAUGGGGCAUCCCUGUCAUGAGUCCCAUAAAGCGUUCAAGAAAAUAUCCUACAUCAAUGGGAUACUGGAACAUAGUUAAAAACUAAGGAAAUCUAAAUAAAUUAUGAACUCGAGUUAAAAACAAGAGCGUUUGUACUUGGUCUCCGUACUAUCUAUAUUAAUGAAAUGAAAUGCUGAUCCUGCUGUUGUUUCCCAAAUUUUCCGUAAAAUGGCAUAGUUUUUCUUUUCUGGAGACUUUUGGAAGCUUGCAGUAAAGGAAAACAAUGGCCUAACCAAUGGCCUAGUUUGCGUGCCAGAGACCCAUGAUCUCCUGACAACUCUCCUGUUCAGCUUCUCAGGGACACAUGAUCUGAAUGCACCAUGGAAAACUCCCCAAAUGCAAAGGAAAUUAAAGGGGCUCCCUACUCUUUGUCUAUGGAUGAAGUUAUGGACAUUCUGAACCAAAUCCACCUCUUCUACUUAUUCAAAUUUUGUUCACCGUGAGGCCUCUAUAAGGAAAGAUGGAUUAAAGAAAAGGAUAGACUUAUUUAACACACGUUUUAUGUGACACGGGAACCUUCAUACGGAAAUGAAGACCUGAAGAAACAGGUUAAAACAAUGAAAAGAAAGCAACUAUUCUGUUGGACUGAACAAUUUAUUUGAAACUUUGACUUCACAAAGACUCAAGUAGCAUUCUUUCAUUUGUUUCAUGGUGUUAGUUGGUUUAACCUUUUUUGACUUGUCCGAGCACAGUGAAUUCACUGCCCACGGGGAGUUUGCUGACCAUCUGCUCUAUGUCAUGUAGAAAAGCCACAGGGCCUUUCUUCCUUUCCUGGUGUCCGUAGUUCCAGAAGGAUUUAGUCAAGAUAAAAUUGCCUCCCAUCUUGAGUUGAUGUGUUUGAAUGUAAGAGUUACCUUUGGAGGGGAAAAGAAAUAACUUUUUUUUUUUUAAUCUAUCAUUAAGUUCAUGGCUUGGGCCCUAAUAACAAAGGACAGAUUAACAAGAGAAAAGCAUACACAUUUAUUUAAUAUAAGUUUUAUGUGACAUGAGAGCAUUCAUAAAGAAAUGAAGGCCUAAAGAAAUAGAGAAACUUGGAGAUUUUUAUGCUGAGGUUUGAUUAAGUGUGAUUGGACGACAAAAGGGCAUGAUCUAAUGGUAAUAAAAAUUAAGAAUUAAGGGGGAAUUAAGCAAGGUCUGUUUGUUCAUAUUCUUCUCUGUGUCCCUGUGUCCUCAGAGGUAAGGAUGGUCCUUUUCUCUGUGUUUGAAAGGAUAUUUUUUGAAUGAAGGUCUCAUGCCCUGCUCCAUGGAAGAAGAGUGAGGGGAAGAGGAGAAUGGCUCUUCUGCUUCUGCUGUUUUCUCAAAUACCAUGAUGCCAUAUUUGGGGGGCAGCAUGUCCUGAACCCCACUACCUUGUUUCUUUCAAAAGUAAUUCCAGUUUAGUAUCUUGGAGGGUUAUAAAGCUUCACUAAAUAGAAUGUCUAUUACACCCUGACCCUCUGGAGGCCUUCUUUCCUCCAUCUGCAUUAUCAAUCCCUGGUGAUUCUCACAAUCGUCCUAGAACCUCCAAAGAGUUCUCCACUUUUAUUUUCUUUUUCACAUUUCAUUUUAGUUGCUGAGCUAAGCCUGAAUUGGCAUUUCCAUAAACUCCCCUUUCAUAGCUAUAAAUAAUUAUAUUUCCUUUAGUCCAGUCUACUUACAAUGUUGUGGUUUUAAAAAAAUAAAUUAAAAUUUAAAAAGACUUCAGUUUGGGAUUUCAACUUAUCAUUUUAUGUAUUUUCGAUUUUUGUGGAGGGAGGGAAGUGUAGAAGAGAGGAAAAUAAAGCCAAAGUAUAAAACUGCAGGAACGGCGUGUAUGAGAGCAUUUUCCACCAUUAUAAUGGAACUAGAAUACAUAUGCCCUGAAAAGUUAGAAAAAAAAAAAGACCACAUUAGAUUUCCAGUGGAGGCGGCGGCAGAGCUUUAGAUAUAAAGCUUCUUUUUACUCCUACUCUUUAUGGGCAUGGGUUUAAAAUGGUAUUUUUAUUAACAAAGUAGUUCUAUCAGGGAGGCAUCCUGGGCAUGCCGGUGCACCAGCUGAUUCCCCUCUUAGUCUCUAUUUCUAGUCUUCCUUAUCCUAUUCUUCCCUAUUUUUAUUUCUCUAGUUCCCAUUUUUUCCUUUUGACCUUCCUGUCCCUGCAAUGUGCGCAUUGGUUCUUAGCCCUUGGUGAACCAGGCUCUAAACAGUUUCAUGACUCUUAAACCACGUCAAGAAAAUCACAAAGGAUUCCUUAAAGGAUCAGGAAGUGUUACUGUAUCUAUAAAGACUGCACAUAGCUGAAUUUCUAGGUCUCCUCAAAUCUGAAUUUCAACUUCAAAAAGCAGUUGAACAGGACUUCUAUUUGUUUAGUGCAUUUAUUAGAUGGCUUGAUGCAGGUCAAAGGGGGUGUGAUUCUAUUUUGAAAGUAUCUCAGCUGAUUUUUGUUCACACCUAGGCCCCCACUGACAUUUUUUCCUAGAUAUCCAUUGAAAAAUCAGAAAUUGCAAUGAAAUGCUGUAUUCCACAUGAAGCUGUAGGGGAGCGAAAAUAUCUUUUCCUCAUCCAUUGCUAGGUUCAUGGCUAAGACCCCCAUAACAAAAGAUGGACUAACAAGAGAAAAAUAAAUAAAUUUAUUUGAGUUUUAUGUGACAUGAGAGCCUUCCUAAGGUAAUGAAGACCUGAAGAAACAGGUAAACCUGUGUAUUUUUUAUGCUGGAUUUAAUAAGUAGAUAGUUGUGGAGAAGUAUGAUUGGAUUAAAAAGUAUGAUCUGAUGAUAAUAUACUAGGGAGACUUAGCGAGGCCUGUUUUCUUAGAUUCUUCUCUGUAUCCCUGUGUCUUCAGAGAUAAGGAUAUUCCUUUCCUCCAGGCGUAGGAGGCAGUCUCUCACAUGCAGGUCUUACGUUCUGCUUCAGGGGAAGGUCAAAAAAUCCUUUCUAGGUUUUUUGACCUUCCUUCCUUCAGGAAGGAAGGGUGGGAGAAGGUCAGACAGACCUUCCUGUUUCUGCCAUCUUCUCACAUUCCUUCAGCUUAAAAUACUUAGUAUGCAAGAUGCCAUAUUUUGGGGGAGUGGUUUCUGAACCCCAUGAAAACUAUUUGCAUUGCAGAAAAAAAAAACAGCUUCAAUGGGAAACUAUGCAUCAUCUGGUACACUACACCCUUCCUAUUAUCUGAUUCUAGCCUUUCCUUGUCUUUGAGUUAUUUUACAACCCUGUAUCUUGCAGGUAACUGAUAGACAUGCACAUUCUGCCCUGUCUAAUAUAGGUUCAAUUGACUUCCUCCCCCUACCUGUGGAAAAACUGGUUUUAUUCCAUUUGCAUGCUAAUUUCAAUAUUCCUGAUCUUUAAAUAUGUCUCUUCACAUUCUCUUGAACCAGUUAUAAUAUCUUCUGCAUUCCGUCUUUGAUUAAUGGCUAGAAUCAAAUCUUUAACAUGUUCAUUUUUAUAUCUGUAUGAGGGUCGUGAUUUCACCCUUCUUUUGAAAAUUAUCUUGUAAUGCCAUUCUCCCUAGCCUUUAUUCAUCAUUCAUUUCCUAACUCUGAUAGUUCUUUUUAUUUUUAGAGAGGGUGAUUAUGCUUCCUGAAUUCUGCAUUUGAUGAGCAUAAAUAUUUUUACAGGCAUGAUGGGCCACAACAUUUGGAAUUGGGAUGUCCCAGAAAAUCUGAUACGUGUGACUGUACAACAAUAUUUCUCAUAGAACUAUAGAGAUGGAAAAGGUCUUAAGUUCUUCUUGUCUCCUUCAUUACAGGAACAAAACUAAUAAAAAUCCAGAGAAAUGGAGAAUUUUUUCAAGAUUGCAGAGAUUUUGAGUAGUAACAGAAUUGUGUAUGAACCUGCUGGGGCUCAGAACAUGAUACUCCAAAGUAUGGUGCUUUGGCAUGCUGACUACUUUGAACUAAAGGAGAUUGAAAGGCCUCAGAAGCAAGGUCUCUCUGAGCUUUUCCUGCUCCCCUGUCCCUCACUUCUUUUUAGUGAGCCAUAGAAACCAGAAUUCUUCUCCCUCAAAGCAAGCCAAAAUCUUAGAAAGGUCACUCCCUCUCUUCUCCCUUGAAGACUACCAUUCCAUAAGGGUCCUAUCCCAUACCUGGGAGGAAGAAAUGUUACACAGAGAGGCCAAAAAGAAUCUAAACAGACAAGCCUUGCUGGGCUCCUACCAUUCCCAGUCUAUUACCAUUAGAUCAUACUCUUUGGUCCAAUCACAUUUCCAUAUGCCUUGUCCAUUCUUCAUUAAAUCUAAGCAUAAAAAUAAACAGCUUUCCUCGGGUCUUUGGGUCUUCUUUUCUGACAGUUCCCAUGUUACGUAAAACUUUGAUUGAAUACGUUUGUUAUGGUUUUGUCUCGUUAAUCUCUUUUGUUAUAGGAGUGUCCCUUAUGAUGGAUGAGGAAAGUUAUUAUAUCUUUUCUCCCUUGCAAACCCAAGACUGGCUAAUUCCGGAUUUCAGGGUCUUUUUUACUACAGUAAACUCUUUCUAAAGUGGGGCUAAUAAUAUGAACCUAAAAACUAAUGUAACAGUUAAAUGACAUCUGAAUCUGAAGAACCUAAUACCAUGCCUCACUCAUAGCAGAGGCUUCUGGUGUUCUCUCUCAAUGAAUACAAUAAAAUGAGAAAGCAAAUGGCACCAUUUCUGUGUCUGCUUGGUCAGCCAGUCUCGUUAACUCAUAGGCACACUUCACAUCUCAUUUAUGUUUCCCAGAAUGAUUAGACACAUAAUAAAUGCUCGAUAAAAUUUUGUUGAAUAGAAUUGAUUUGAGCAGAAUGAGCAGUUAUGUGAAGGAACCACAGCUGAUUUUAAACAAAGACUCUUUUAACUCUAGAGAUUGAAGGGAGAGCAUGUUCUCAUUGUGAAUUGUACCCUAAUCCUUACAUCAACCAUAAAUUCUAAAAAUAAUCAAACUAGAUUUUUGGUGAAUGAUUUAUCAUCUAGAACAAUUGUGUUUUCUUUUAAAUUUAAAUUUAAGUUUUUUCUUUUUUUAGAGACAGGGUCCUGCUCUGUCUCUCAGCUGGAGUUCAGUGGUACAAUCAUAAUUCAUUGCGGCCUGCAACUCCUGGGCUCAAGCAAUCCUCCUGCCUCAGCCUCCCAAGUAGCUAGGACUAUAGGUACACACCACCUCACUUGGCUAAUUUUUAUAUUUUUUUUGUAGAGAAGGGGUCUUGCUUUGUUGCUCAGGCUGGUCUUGAACUCUUGGCUUCAAGUGAUCUUCCCACCUGGGGCUCCCAAUGUGUGGGGAUUUCAGGCUUGAGCCACCACCCACCCGGCUGCAAUUGUAACCAAAUAUCCUGACCUACUUUCUGCUGAAAAUCACCCUACUUUCCUCUUUACAUAGAAAUAUUAUCACAAAUCCCUUUGAAUGAGCAACUGCCUAUUUUAGGAAAUCAGUGACUGUACUUAUAUUGGUUACGGCUUCCUUCCUCAGCAAAUAUUCCCAGGUUGAUCUUCAGUUCAGGCGAAUGACGCUGGGCAGUAUUCGCAAAGGCCCUCUAUAGUAUAGAUGCCUGAGAGCUCUUUAGGCUGUGUGCUAACAAUAUUUUGAUAUACUCUGUUUUUCUCC
Molecule: long non-coding RNA, 6618 nt
Filed under: Homo sapiens (human)
Lineage: Eukaryota; Metazoa; Chordata; Mammalia; Primates; Hominidae
Description: HSALNT0093867
Source: RNAcentral